GAAGACUGAAAAAUUCCAUAUCAGAGUUUAUUGAUUCUAAAGAUCAGAAUUUCUUUAAGACAGGCAUCUAUGCAUUAAAAUCUCGUUGAGAAAAGUGUAUCGAAACAAAUGAAGCAUAUUUUGAUUAAAUAAACAGCUUUUGAAAAAAGAUGUAGUUUUAUAUAUUCACUUAAAAAUCUGACAUUUCAUACGCACCAACCUAAUAUAAAUAUUUUUUAUAUUAUAAAUAUUAUAAAUAUAUUAUAAAAUUUUGAUUCUUUACCUCACACUUUCUUAAAAAAAUGGAUUACAUUUGAUUACUUGUAACCUCAUCACGUUUUUAUGUUAUUCUCAUGGCUCCUGCACACUGGACGCGGAAACGCUUGCUGCGCGGCAAAACGAAACGCGAUAACCAAUGAACACAUUGGAGUUGUAAGCUUAUUGGCUAACGCAUCACAUUUUGCCGUGCAGCAAGCAUUUCCGCGUCCAGUGUACAGAAGCCAUUACACUUCCCGCUCAGUCACGAAAAACGAAGUCAUUGAAAAACUGAAUUUGAUGAUUAGCCACUAGCACUGAAAUUUAGGUUUGUGGAUUCAAAAUUGGAAUUCGAAUUCAAAUAUUAGAAACCAGACUUGAGAUCUGAAGAAGGAUGAAUUCGGAUCUAAAAUAUUAGUUAUUAUAUAACCAGUGUUGCCAGACAUGGCCCGCACUCGCGCAUGCGCGCAGUCUGAAGCGCCAGUAUCUAAUCCGUUCGUGGAACUAGCGUUUAGUCGCCUCAAAGAGAAAUAGAAUUACAGAUAUAAAGAAAUUAAAUAUAUCUGUUAUUGUGAGGAAUGAAACGUGAUAAAGUACAAGCCAGUAUUCUUGUUACGAAUUCCAUACUGAAAAGAGGUGAAAAGAUUCCCCAGUAGAAGAAUCUUAAAAUCAAGGAUAGUCUUUGAAUUGCGGAAUGUACUUUUGUAUCUUGUCUUUGAAUAUGGGUAUAGAGAUAUUUUAUCCAACAGAUUGUUGAAUAAUUGAAAAUCCAUUCUGAAGAAUCUGCAAAAAGAUUCUACAUCUUCAUAGAGUGCUAAAUAAACAGAUCUUCUUAAUUCGAA
Molecule: long non-coding RNA, 1076 nt
Organism: Acromyrmex echinatior (Panamanian leafcutter ant)
Lineage: Eukaryota; Metazoa; Arthropoda; Insecta; Hymenoptera; Formicidae
Source: RefSeq, a predicted model, not a curated record